AUUAAAAUACCAGCUCCCGUACAAUCACCGAAGUUAAGCAACGACGGACCUGGUUAGUAACUGGAUGAGUAACCGCUUGAAAAUAUCCGGUGCUGUAAG
This is a non-coding RNA of Acanthosepion pharaonis, 99 nucleotides long. The record is from the annotation of a GenBank genome assembly. NCBI's taxonomy places the organism in Eukaryota, Metazoa, Mollusca, Cephalopoda, Sepiida, Sepiidae.